This 8111-nucleotide long non-coding RNA is filed under the name Homo sapiens (human). Its description in RNAcentral is "non-protein coding lnc-SEPT9-3:2". Lineage: Eukaryota; Metazoa; Chordata; Mammalia; Primates; Hominidae. The record is from RNAcentral.
GGAGAGUGGGGGCUUCCCCAGCGGGAGAGGGAGGACGAUUCUGGAUGGCUUCCCUCCUUGUGGACAGAGUGAGUCUCUGCUAUGAGAAAGACCCGUGUUGGAGCCACACUGCCCGGGACAGCCCUGAAGCAGCCACGUCCCCACCUUUCAGGAGUCGGCCAAGAGCACGGUGGCUGCAGAAGGCCCUGGCUGAUGGAGAUAACAUUUGACAAACAGGUGCUUUUCCAAUUAUGGAUAACAACAGAAAAGCAGUCAUUGGUUUCUAAAAGGUCAUCAAGAUAUAAAGCCCGUUUGGGAAGGGAAUGACUUACGCAGUGGGCUUGUAUAAAUCUGGAGAAGUUUUAUGCACAAGUCGGACAAGAAAUGUGUUCUACAUACGGCUCGGGAGCCAGCAAGUGCGUAUGAAGCCCCUUCACAUGGCUAGUGGCAUCCUAAGGACCCGGCGACAAUUAGUCAUGGCGUCAUCGAACACCAGGCUGGAGGAGGUCUUGGAUGCCACAGCUCCUUUUGAAUUUCAAAGACGUUCAAAUCCCCAUCUGGCUGUUACACUUUUAGGCUAUUGAGAGUGAAAACAAGCACUGACAUGAACACCCAACCAGCUGCCGGUGACAUCGUCCCCUUCUGAGAUCUGAGGACAUGGAUACCCAACCACCUGCCGGUGACAUCGUCUCCUUCUGAGAUCUGAGGACAUGAACACCCAACCACCUGCCGGUGAUAUCGUCCCCUUCUGAGAUCUGAGGACGUGGAUAUCCAACCACCUGCCGGUGACAUUGUCUCCUUCUGAGAUCUGAGGACAUGGACACCAAACCACCUGCCGGUGACAUUGUCUCCUUCUGAGAUCUGAGGACAUGAACACCAAACCACCUGCCAGUGACAUCGUCCCCUUCUGAGAUCUGAGGACAUGGAUACCCAACCACCUGCCGGUGACAUCGUCUCCUUCUGAGAUCUGAGGACAUGGACACCCAACCACCUGCCGGUGACAUCGUCUCCUUCUGAGAUCUGAGGACAUGAACACCCAACCACCUGCCGGUGAUAUCGUCCCCUUCUGAGAUCUGAGGACGUGGAUAUCCAACCACCUGCCGGUGACAUUGUCUCCUUCUGAGAUCUGAGGACAUGGACACCAAACCACCUGCCGGUGACAUUGUCUCCUUCUGAGAUCUGAGGACAUGAACACCAAACCACCUGCCAGUGACAUCGUCCCCUUCUGAGAUCUGAGGACAUGGAUACCCAACCACCUGCCGGUGACAUCAUCUUCUUCUGAGAUCUGAGGACAUGGACACCCAACCACCUGCCGGUGACAUCGUCUCCUUCUGAGAUCUGAGGACAUGGACACCAAACCACCUGCCGGUGACAUCGUCUCCUUCUGAGAUCUGAGGACAUGAACACCCAACCACCUGCCGGUGAUAUCGUCCCCUUCUGAGAUCUGAGGACGUGGAUAUCCAACCACCUGCCGGUGACAUUGUCUCCUUCUGAGAUCUGAGGACAUGGACACCAAACCACCUGCUGGUGACAUUGUCUCCUUCUGAGAUCUGAGGACAUGAACACCAAACCACCUGCCAGUGACAUCGUCCCCUUCUGAGAUCUGAGGACAUGGAUACCCAACCACCUGCCGGUGACAUCAUCUUCUUCUGAGAUCUGAGGACAUGGACACCCAACCACCUGCCGGUGACAUCGUCUCCUUCUGAGAUCUGAGGACAUGGACACCAAACCACCUGCCGGUGACAUCGUCUCCUUCUGAGAUCUGAGGACAUGAACACCCAACCACCUGCCGGUGACAUCGUCCCCUUCUGAGAUCUGAGGACAUUGAUACCCAGCCACCUGCCGGUGACAUCGUCUCCUUCUGAGAUCUGAGGAUAUGGACACCAAACCACCUGCCGGUGACAUCGUCUCCUUCUGAGAUCUGAGGACAUGAACACCCAACCACCUGCCGGUGACAUCGUCCCCUUCUGAGAUCUGAGGACAUGGAUACCCAACCACCUGCCGGUGACAUCGUCUCCUUCUGAGAUCUGAGGACAUGGACACCCAACCUGCUGCUGGUGACAUCGUUCCCUUCUGAGAUCUGAGGACAUGGACACCAAACCACCUGCCAGUGACAUCGUCUCCUUCUGAGAUCUGAGGACAUGGACACCAAACCUGCUGCCGGUGACAUCGUCCCCUUCUGAGAUCUGAGGACAUGGACACCCAACCACCUGCCGGUGACAUCGUCUCCUUCUGAGGUCUGAGGACAGACACUCACAUGGACACCUAAACACCUGCCGAUGAUAUUGUCUCCUUCUGAAAUCUGAGGACAUGGACACCCAACCAGCUGCUGGUGACAUCAUCUCCUUCUGAGAUCUGAGGACAGACACUCACAUAGACGCCCAAUCAGCUGCUGGUGACAUUGUCUCCUUCUGAAAUCUGAGGGUUGGAACACAUUGGCCUGGCUCAGUGUUUCUCCAUGUGGUUUUGAGACCACCUGAGUUGGAACCGAUAUGGGUUCCCAGCCUCACGCCUGGAGAGCUGGAUUUUGCGAGUGUGAGGUUAGGUCCAGCAUCUGCAUGUGUAACGAGCUCCCAGGUGUUUCGUAGAUGCAUUAGGGCUUGAGAAGCUCCUUUCUAGCACCAUCUUCCUUUUUGCGCAUGAGGGAGUUCAGGUCCAGAGAAAUAAAGCAGCAAGGUUAGUGGCACAGCUGGCGCCCCCUGCUUUCUAGGAAUUUAGAAUAUUAUUGAAGAGAGAGGUAUUAGAACCUGUGAAGUCAAUACAGAGACCUCCAGGCGAGUGGCAUCCUCACUGAAACCACUGACAAGUAUGCUGAAUAGAAAGUGUCAUUUCUCCUGGAAGACCCUCAGUGACCCAGCUGGAGGGUCUCUCCUACUCAUCAGCUGUCCCUCACUCUGCCAUUUCAGCAGCUCUGCUCACCCUGAGCAUGCAGAGAGAGCAGCUUUUAAAUGAGUUCUAAUCCAGACCAGCUUGGCUAGCAUUGUCUGUGUAGAGGUGUGCUAGUAAGUCUAACAACUGGCUCUCUGAGAGAGAGUAGCCCUACCUAACUGGUAGCAUUUGCCACUUCCCAUGGUGUAAAUACUCCCAGCAUGGCCAACUUCAAGCUUACUAAGAGGAUUUCGCUGAUCAUGGUUUUGGGGAGAGAUGUGCAGAUUGACUCCUGCCAGCUAGUAGGAGCCGGCUCCAGCACACCACGGCAUCUGUGUCCAGGAACCAGGCUGAGAUGUGGGAAGGCCAGAGAAGGAGGAGGCUGGCAGAUGCCUGAGGGCUGGGAAGGAUUGCAUCCAGGAGGACGGCCGUGGUGGGCAUCCCUGCAUUGGGGGGCAGCCGGGCCCAAGAUCCAGGGGGACAGAAAGCACAAAUGGUGCUGGGGUUCAGUGCCACACUCACCCUGGGGCAGAGGAGGGUGACACUGGCCCUGCCACCUGACCUCAGCCUCAGGGGCUCCAGAUCCUAGCCAGAGGCCUUGAGUGCUUCCUGCCACAAAGGCAGGGGGUGGCCUGGGAUUUCCUCUCUGAUCGGAGCUGAUGUUUCCCUCCAGGAAACCAUCCCUGCUCACCUUGCUAGGCCUGGGGCAAGUUGGAGUGAAGGGCAGGUCCCUCAGCCUUGCCUUUGAGACCUUACCUUCCACUUCAUUCCCGUCUGUGGCUCUCAUUCCUUCCCCACCCCUGCCCUAUGCUCUGGUGAGAAGGUGCAACCCUGUGAGCCCCCAUAGCAAGGUUCACUCCAGCCGUGCUUUCUGCUUGCUUUUGGUUUGUGAAAACCCUCCACUUUCUUAGAGGCCUUCUGCAAAUGUCAUUUCUUCAUAAGGAUCUUCCUACCCCGCCCGAGCCAGGGAGAUCCCUCCCUUCUCUGAGCCUAGAGCACCAUGUCCCUUCCCUGUAGCCCUGGUGACGUGCACCCUGGAUGGUGGCCCUUCCAGUGACAUGGAGGAUGUUUUCCCUCUACAGACACUGUCUGGUUUUAGGAUCCCGGAGCCAGGCAUCUCGCUCACCCCUGUAGCCACCACAGCAUUCAGCCCUGCAGCCUGGGACCUUGCUAAGGUCUUGCUUUACCCCUAAAAACCAAAAAUAGUGUGUCACCUUUAGCAGUGAUUGCCAACGCCUCUGGAGUGCUGGCUGGGACAGGCAUCUCUAUUUUCAUCCUCACCAAUCCUGCCAGGGAGCUACUCUGGGGAGCCCCAUCCUGCUGAUGAAUGACCGAGUCUCGCAGCGAUGACGGAACCUGCAGGUCCCAGGCUUGGGCCCAGGUCUGUCUUUCUCCAGGGGCCUCACAUCCAUCUCCUUCCCAGCUCUCCUUUUCUGUAAGACUUCACAGAACAGGUUCAAAAUCCAUUUGCUGGCCGAGCACAGUGGUUCACGCCUGUAAUCCAGCACUGUGGGAGGCCUCGAGGCAGGUGGAUCACCUGAGGUCAGGAGUUCGAGACCAGCCUGGCCAACAUGGCGAAACCCCAUCUCUACUAAAAAUACAAAAAAUUAGCCGGGCGUGGUAUCAGGUGCCUGUAAUCCUGGCUACUCGGGAGGCUGAGGCAGGAGAAUCACUUGAACCCGGGAGGUGGAUAUUGCAGUGAGCUGGGAUCAUGCCAUUGCACUCCAGCCUCGGCAACAAGAGUGAAACUCCAUCUCGGACAAAAAAAUCCAUUUGCUAAUACCAGGCUGAGGGUGAGCUGCUGUUCUCACCUGGGAGAGAUGAUUUGUCAGAACAUGUCUUAAAACCGGCUGCUGCCAUGCAGAGAUAGCACAUGACACGUGCCACCAGCCAGAGCCGCUAGUCCAUGGGCCAGGUAGGGUCCUCCCCACCCCAGCUCCGGGAAUGGGACCCCAGGAUUGGCAACACCUGUGGAUGCCACAUGGGUCUGAGGUCACUGUGCAGUGCGGCGCUUGGGCAGUGACCUGGUCCUUUCACUCUUUCCUCCAUACUUCCUUAUCUCAAGGUAAGAAAGGAAGAUUGACAACUCAGGCUGUAGAGUCAGAGAGUCCUGGGAUCAAAUCCCAGCUUAACCAUAUAAUCUGUGUGACUUUGGGUGAAUGAUUGAAACGAUCUGUGCUCCGUGUCACCAUCCACACGGUAGGGAUCACAGUUGGUCUCUGUCUCUGGGAGGUCUGUGGGCUUUAAAUGAGACAGUAGAGAUGAAGUGCUUAGAGCUGUGCCCCGUGCAUGGCCAGUGUGCAAUGAGAUGGUCUCAGAGUAUUAUGGCUGGAGUCACCACUUGUAUUACCAGGAAGCCCAGCCUCUGUGAUUACAGGAUUCCAACUAUGGUGACUCUGCACCUCUUCCUUUUUCUCUUGCUUUCUCAUUCGUCUUAUUACCAUUUGCUGAAAUUAAAUCAGAACACACAGGGGAAGCACCUAUCCUUGCCCAGCACAUAGUAGGCAUCGUGCAGGAGUCUGUGAGUCACAUGGUUUACUCUUGCCCUCCUCCCCAUGGUUCCUAGCACGGUGUUGAAUGUGUAGCAGGCCCUCCCUAAUGGACCCAGGAGAUCAGCCUGGGCACUCUCUCAUUCUCCUCCUGCCUCCCACCCUUGAUUCCCUCAUAAGACAGCAGCACAAGUGACUUCUAGGGGAACCGUAUUAGUCUGUUGCUAAGACCAGAUAAUUUAUAAAGAAACGAGGUUUCAUUGACUCACAGUUCUGCAGGCUGUACAGGAAGCAUGGCUGGGGAGGCCUCAGGAAACUUACAGUAGUGGCAGAAGGCAAAGGAGGAGCAGGCGUCCUCACAUGGCUGGAGCAGGAGGAAGGGAGAGAGCGGGGAGGCGCCAUCACUUUUAAACAAACAGGUCUCGUGAGAACUCACUCACUGUACAGUCCCAAGGGGGAAUGUGCCAAACCAUUCAUGAGAACUCCGCCCCUCUGAUCCAGUCACCUCCCACCAGGUCCCACCUCCAACACUGGGGACUAUAGUUCGACAUAAGAUUUGGGUGGGGUGGCAGAUCCCAACCAUAUCAGAAAGGGUCUUUAUGAUCAGUGGAGAGUGGCAGGGAGGUGUGGACCAUGGGGAGACACAGUCCUCCUGGACCUUGGAGUGAGAGGAUUCAGUUUUAGCAAAAACAGGAGAUAAGACUGUCUGGAAUUGUCCUUCUGUGUGAAUGACCCGCUCAAGGUCUCAAGGCAACUGCAUGGCCCACCCGCUCCACUCAUGGCCCUCUCACCCCCAUUCGGCACCCCAGCCUUCUCCUUGUGGGGUCACCCCGCCCCACAGUCCGACCCGGGCUGGAGUGAAAUCUCGGCUGACUGAUGCGCCUUCACGGAAGAUGGCAUGGAGGGGAUCCACUGUCCCCCUCAGGCCUCUUCUCCAAGACAAAGGACAGUCAUGUACACUGGCUCACAGACCACAGAGAUGCUGGUAGUUGGUGUGCAAGAGCAUUUAUCAUGUUGGAGAAUGACAAAGAGGGAGCAGGUGUCUGACCUGGGAUGAGAGAACACGGAGCGGUGAAGGCACACCAGGGGUGGAGAGGGCAGAGACAGGCUGUCAUUUUUCAGCACAAUUUUCCUCCCUUUAAUGUUCCCAUAGAUUAUGGGACCGGAUCAUCUGAUGGCCGAAAGAGAUGUUUUAUGGUGCCAGGGUGGAAGGUUUGAGGAGAGGGAAAAAUGAUUGUGAACUUUCUGUCCUACAAAGGCUCUCAUGGUCUAUAGAAUACAAAGUUGAUUUUGCUUUGCUUUUCUUGGAAAUGUGCUAGAGAGGAGAAAGGUAAAUAGGAUUUACCAGCCUCCUCCUGCAUGCAAAGCAAAUGGAAAGAACCCUCCCCCCUUGAACCUCCGUUUUGCUUGGAAGAAGCGGGAUGUGUCUUCUUGUUCCCCUUCAAGGGAGAUUUAAGAGGUCCUCUCCUGGAACAGCACAGAGUUUAAUGCUAAAUACUUUUCAAAAUCUUUUGGUCAUCUACAGUUUUCUCUCCUCGGCUCUGCGGUCAGGAGGGUUUGAGGAAAGAGGUGGAAAGUUCUCUCUCCGAGGGACCCUGUCCCCAGGCCUCAUGUGUUCCAGGGCCCCGUUUGCAGUUCUUGGCUGUAUGAGUGAAAAUCUUUAUUGAAGAACCAGAUUUCUUUUUUGCAAGGAGAAAAAAGAAAAGAAACCAAUAUCCAAUUCAAGUAGGGGCCAACAAGCAAAUGAAAACAUGCUCAAAUUGAUUAGUUUUCAGGGACAUUCAAUUUAAAACCACAUGAGAUAGCAUUUCAUGCCCAUUAGGACGGCUGGAGUCAAGACGGAUGACAGCAAGUGUUGGUGAGUGUGUGGGGGGUUCAGAACCCUCGUGCCUUGCCUGUAGGAAUGUGAAAUGGGGCAGCCUCUUCGAAAAAUGGUUUUGUAGUUCUUCAAAAAGUUAAACAUGAAAGGCCAGGCAUAGUGGGGUGGCUCACACUUGUAAUUCCGGUACUUUGGGAGGCUGAGGUGGGAGGGUCACUUGAGCCCAGGAGUUUGAGAGCAGCCUGGGCAAUGUGGUAAAACUCCAUCUAUACAAAAAAUACAAAAACUAGCUGGGCAUGGUGGUGUGCACCUGUAGUCCCAGCCACUCGGGAGGCUGAGGUGGGAGGAUCGCCUGAGCCCAGGAAUUUGUGGCUGCAGUGAGCCGUGAUCAUGCCACUGCACUCCAGCCUGAGAGACAGAGUAAGACCCUGUCUCAAAAAAAAGAAGAGAAAAAGUUAAACAUUAAACUAUCAUAUAACCCAGGAAUUCUGUCCCUAGGUAUAUGCCCCAAAUAAUUGGGAACAAGUAUGUUGUUUGUUUUUUUUUGUUUUUGUUUUUGAGAUGGAGUUUUGCUCUUGUUGCCCAGGCUAGAGUGCAAUGGCAUGAUCUUGGCUCACCUCAACCUCCGCCUCCCAAGUUCAAGCGAUUCUCCUGCCUCAGCCUCCUGAGUAGCUGGGAUUACAGGCAUGCACCACCAUGUCUGGCUAAUUUUGUAUUUUCAGUAGAGACGAGGUUUCUCCAUGUUGGUCAGGCUGGUCUCAAACUCCUGACCUCAGGUGAUCCACCCGCGUCGGCCUUCCAAAGUGCUGGGAUUAUAGGCAUAAGCCACCACACGUAGCUGGGAACAGCUAUUUAAACAAAUGUUGUACACGAAUGCCCGCAGCAGGACUACUGACAAUAGCCCAAAACUGACAACAACCCAAAUGUCUGUCAAUGGAUAAAUAAAUAAACUGUGG